This 330-nucleotide ribosomal RNA is filed under the name Trichadenotecnum sexpunctatum. RNAcentral describes it as "partial 12S rRNA". The record is from RNAcentral. Lineage: Eukaryota; Metazoa; Arthropoda; Insecta; Psocodea; Psocidae.
GAGUAGUAAAUGUUUUGGGCAGGAAACUUAAAGAAUUUGGCGGUGUAUAUUCUAGUUAGAGGAAUAUGUCUUUUAAUUGAUAUCCCACAAGUAUUUUACUUAAAUUUAUUUACUUUGUAUAUCUCCGUCUUAAAAAAACUUUUAAAAAUAUUUUUUAUUUUUUAUAAUUUAAAAUAAGUCAGGUCAAGGUGCAGGUUAUAAUUAAGUUAAGAUGUAUUACAAUAAAUUUAUUUUUGGAUUAAAAUUUAAAUAAUUUUAUUAAAUUGGAUUUAUGAGUAAAUUUUUUUAUAGAAUAAUUUAUUGAAUUGUGUUAAUAUACAUGCACACAUC